RNAcentral lists this non-coding RNA (192 nucleotides) under Candidatus Epulonipiscium sp. Its description in RNAcentral is "6S RNA". It matches the Rfam family "6S / SsrS RNA". From Rfam's summary of the family: E. coli 6S RNA was the first non coding RNA to be sequenced, but its function was unknown until recently. It consists of 184 nucleotides that fold into an extended hairpin structure with a large single-stranded internal bulge. The 6S RNA specifically associates with RNA polymerase holoenzyme containing the sigma70 specificity factor. The record is from RNAcentral. Lineage: Bacteria; Bacillati; Bacillota; Clostridia; Lachnospirales; Lachnospiraceae.
UGUUUCCUGAGAUGUGCGAAAACCUGGUAUUUUGAACCUACACUGAUUAAUUGGGAGUUCCAUAUCCUAGGGUAGAUGUCAGGCCUCAUUUAUAAUCCUUAUGGGCAGAGGAAGACAAAAAUUCUAGUGAGAACACCCACCUGGCGUGAGCUAGGGCGUCAAAAAUCAGGGAAACGGCAUUUUGGGUAACAA